Molecule: ribosomal RNA, 497 nt
Filed under: uncultured bacterium
Lineage: Bacteria
Description: partial 16S ribosomal RNA
Rfam family: Bacterial small subunit ribosomal RNA
Source: RNAcentral
GAUGAACGCUGGCGGCGUGCCUAAUACAUGCAAGUCGAGCGAACAGAUAAGGAGCUUGCUCCUUUGACGUUAGCGGCGGACGGGUGAGUAACACGUGGGUAACCUACCUAUAAGACUGGGAUAACUUCGGGAAACCGGAGCUAAUACCGGAUAACAUUUGGAACCGCAUGGUUCUAAAGUGAAAGAUGGUUUUGCUAUCACUUAUAGAUGGACCCGCGCCGUAUUAGCUAGUUGGUAAGGUAACGGCUUACCAAGGCGACGAUACGUAGCCGACCUGAGAGGGUGAUCGGCCACACUGGAACUGAGACGCGGUCCAGACUCCUACGGGAGGCAGCAGUAGGGAAUCUUCCGCAAUGGGCGAAAGCCUGACGGAGCAACGCCGCGUGAGUGAUGAAGGGUUUCGGCUCGUAAAACUCUGUUAUUAGGGAAGAACAAAUGUGUAAGUAACUGUGCACGUCUUGACGGUACCUAAUCAGAAAGCCACGGCUAACUACGUG